RNAcentral lists this ribosomal RNA (253 nucleotides) under uncultured bacterium. RNAcentral's name for it is "partial 16S ribosomal RNA". It matches the Rfam family "Bacterial small subunit ribosomal RNA", at positions 524 to 776 of the family's 1533-position model. The record is from RNAcentral.
GACGAACCGAGCGAACGUUGUUCGGAAUCACCGGGCUUAAAGGGCGCGUAGGCGGUCCGAUAAGUCCCGUGUGAAAUCCCUCGGCUCAACUGAGGAAUGGCACGGGAAACUGCCGGGCUUGAGUUCGGGAGAGGGAAGCGGAAUUCCGGGUGUAGCGGUGAAAUGCGUAGAUAUCCGGAGGAACACCGGUGGCGAAGGCGGCUUCCUGGACCGACACUGACGCUGAGGCGCGAAAGCUAGGGGAGCAAACGGG